GGCUGGCCCGAUGGCAAUGCGUUAUCAGAACUUAUUAACGUUAGUGUCACUAAAGUUGGUAUACAUAUAACUGCUAAAUUUGACUGGCUUAAA
Cavia aperea (Brazilian guinea pig) is the source of this 93-nucleotide unclassified non-coding RNA. It matches the Rfam family "Y RNA". Rfam says of the family: Y RNAs are components of the Ro ribonucleoprotein particle (Ro RNP), in association with Ro60 and La proteins. The Y RNAs and Ro60 and La proteins are well conserved, but the function of the Ro RNP is not known. The record is from Ensembl. NCBI's taxonomy places the organism in Eukaryota, Metazoa, Chordata, Mammalia, Rodentia, Caviidae.